AAUAGUUUUAUGCCACAUCAGUACUCUUAUCCUGAAUUUCAGGAUUUUAUCCUGAAAAAAAUCAAAUCCAAAUUAAAAUACUAAAAUUCAGGAUAAAAGUACUGAUGUGGCAUAAAACUAUU
Gossypium hirsutum (cotton) is the source of this 122-nucleotide non-coding RNA. Lineage: Eukaryota; Viridiplantae; Streptophyta; Magnoliopsida; Malvales; Malvaceae. The record is from Rfam.